UCGCAAUCUUUAAUCACUUUCUCCCUCAAAUCUCUCAUUUUUUCAAUCUCUGUGUUUGUUUUAGCUUCUGGGUUUUGUUCAAAUCUGAGCUUCACAGCAGAUACUACUAUCAUUUUAUUCUCUUUUAUUCCUUUGUCAAAUUUUAUUCGACUAAAAUGACUGUAGAGCAAGGAAUUGGACAACCUAGAGACCAGUUUCCCAUUGGCAUGCGGGUUUUGGCCGUUGACGAUGACCCUACUUGCCUCUUGCUGCUAGAGACCCUGCUUCGUCGAUGCCAAUACCAUGUUACCACGAC
RNAcentral lists this unclassified non-coding RNA (295 nucleotides) under Hevea brasiliensis (rubber tree). Lineage: Eukaryota; Viridiplantae; Streptophyta; Magnoliopsida; Malpighiales; Euphorbiaceae. The record is from RNAcentral.